RNAcentral lists this ribosomal RNA (491 nucleotides) under Gordonia terrae. RNAcentral describes it as "bacterial SSU rRNA". It matches the Rfam family "Bacterial small subunit ribosomal RNA", at positions 380 to 881 of the family's 1533-position model. The record is from RNAcentral. Lineage: Bacteria; Bacillati; Actinomycetota; Actinomycetes; Mycobacteriales; Gordoniaceae.
AGCCUGAUGCAGCGACGCCGCGUGAGGGAUGACGGCCUUCGGGUUGUAAACCUCUUUCACCAGGGACGAAGCGUGAGUGACGGUACCUGGAGAAGAAGCACCGGCCAACUACGUGCCAGCAGCCGCGGUAAUACGUAGGGUGCGAGCGUUGUCCGGAAUUACUGGGCGUAAAGAGCUCGUAGGCGGUUUGUCGCGUCGUCUGUGAAAUUCUGCAACUCAAUUGCAGGCGUGCAGGCGAUACGGGCAGACUUGAGUACUACAGGGGAGACUGGAAUUCCUGGUGUAGCGGUGAAAUGCGCAGAUAUCAGGAGGAACACCGGUGGCGAAGGCGGGUCUCUGGGUAGUAACUGACGCUGAGGAGCGAAAGCGUGGGUAGCGAACAGGAUUAGAUACCCUGGUAGUCCACGCCGUAAACGGUGGGUACUAGGUGUGGGUUCCUUUUCACGGGAUCCGUGCCGUAGCUAACGCAUUAAGUACCCCGCCUGGGGAGU